UUUUUUUUUUUUUUUUAGGCCCACACCUGGAGCAUAGGGAAGUUCUCAGGCUAGGGGUCCAACCUGAGCUGCAGCUGCCAGCCAAAGCCACAGCCACAGCCACAGCCACAGCAAGGGUGGAUCCAAGCCUUAUCUAAGACCUACCCCUCAGCUCACAGCAACACCAGAUCCUUAACCCACUGGGCAAGGCCAGGGAUGAAACCCACAUCCUCAUGGAUACUAGUCGGCUUGGAAGUACAAUCACCAUUACUUAUCAGUGUGUAUUAGGUAUAAAUACUUACCCUGGAUUAUAUUUCAUGUUUGACAGAUUAACAAUGCUUGAUAGUUUACUUAACUGCAGGUGUAAAAUAUGGAUCUAGUCUAGUCUUGAUAAUGCAUUUGUUCAUAAAGUUUGAUCAUUUGCUCACAACAUGAAAAACCUACAGACCACCACCAUGGCUACCAGAAAGACGUUUCUGGUCCACCUGACCCUUAUCUGCUCCACCCAGGCAGACACGAAAGGGGACUCCAAGGCCAUUCCCUUCCCUCGCAUCCUAGUUUUGACAACUCCACACAGCCACCCUUGCGCGUGUACUGAGAUUGGGAUUUUCUCAGCGCUACAGAGGGACCUUUUGCUUCGCCCUCUGCUCUCCAGGUGAUUUUCUCUCAAGUUACAACUUGAUUGCUGCCUGAUGAUUAAGAUCCUCGCGAAAAAAAAAAAAAAGUUUUUUUAUGACCUAUUUAAAAAAAAAAAAAAUCCCAUAUCCAGUUAAGAAUUGUCAAAAAGUAAGAAUAAUUGUCCUCUGGAUCAUUACUUACUGUUUCGAGUACAUUUUGCAGAGAAAUUCUUUUUUAAUUUGUUUUUUUUGGCCAUGCCCACGACAUGUGAAAAUCAGGACCCACAGAUUGAACCCACAUCACAGCAGCAACCCAAGCCACUGCAGUGACAACGCCAGAUCUUUAACCCACGGUACAAUACGGGAAAUGUGAGAAAUUACAGCAUUAGUUUAAAAAUAUCUUCAUAGAAGGUAUUAAAUAUUGCUCAGAAGAGAUAUCAUAAUUUAAUUCCAAACUAUAAAUAUAGAAAGCAACUGGUUAAAUUUCACUGUAGAAAUAUUUCUUUUUGCUGUCGUUUUCUAAAGGUAACUUGGACAAGCACGACAUAUAAAGUAAGACAACAUUGGCAAAAUAUAAAUAACUAAUAAAACAGAUGAAUCAUCAAUGACCAAAUGAUAUAUAAACAUAACGAAUAUUUUAAUAAACAUUCCCCUAAUUUAAUCUGAUCCUAUAAAGUCAUGUAUUUGCAUUGUGAUGUAUCUAAAAUUAUAUACAUUCCAAAAGCUACCCAUCAUCUUCCCCACUUUCUAACUACCUUAAACUAUUAAUUGACUAAAGUGCACUUUGUUCAAAAUAUUUUUCCAGUGACUACAAUGCAUUAGGUGACUUGCUUGCAUUACUUUUAAAUCCCACCUGUAAAAUAUGAGUGAUAUACUUAAAAUUACUGGAGUUGCAACACCUGACCAAAUAUUUGAAAACUAGAAUGACGUUAAUUAAAUAAAUGGCCUACUCUCAUAUGACUCCAACUGAGAACUGUCCAUUAACAGUAGUUUAUCCGCAGUUGCCAUCAUUUAUCCACAUCAAAUACACUGUGUUCCAAACUUUAAAACUACUAAGUCAUGAUGAGGAAUGGGAAGGGCUUGCCCUAACUGUCCAAAGGCAUUUAGAACCUGAAAUGUCCAAUCUGUAACUGCAGGAGAAUAGUCUAAAUUUGUAUUGUUUUAUGGAUCUUAGAGUAAAACAGAGAAAAUGGAGGUUAACACUACAACAAUUUUACAUAGUACAGAAUGGCUCCCAUAUAAAACCGGUUAAAUUCAUUCUCUAUGCAUGUUAGUUCCAACAGCAGAGUAACUCUGAAGAUAUUAAGUAUUCUAAAUAUUAGAUUCAAAAUAUAUUGAAGACUCUGAGUUCUCUCUAAUACAAUGAUUUUAGUUACUUUAUUUUUAAGCAAACACUGAAUACCCUAUCAACAAAUGGCAGGUGCUCUUCUUGACAGUCUUCGAACAGAAAUUCUGCGAGGACAUCAUGACGACAUCAGCAAGAGUGUCAAUUUGAUUCCGGGGGAAAAGUCACCUCUAAUUACAGCUGUGAACACCUCCUGAUCGAGCACUGUUUCAUACUCUUUCUUUCAUUCUUCCCAAGGCCUAACUUAAUGAGGCCCUGAGAUGUAGCAUACAGUCAAACAUUAGCUGACUGGAUAAAUGACCACUAAAGAACUACGACACAAACCAUUUAAUUCGGUAUCUGAGUUCUACUCAGGAUGCCAAAAAAUAAACAUGCAUUAUACAUACAAGACACCCCUAAGGCACAAGCACUGUUGUUAUUUAGCAACUCUUAAACUUCUUCGUGGCCUCCCAGAAGUAAUGUUAUUCAUGUGCUAAAUUAUCUUCGUUGAUUUACCUCUAUUCUCUCAUGUCCUACUUAGAAAAGAAUAUCAGAAUGCAAAUAAGGGAGAAGUAACAUGUGAGACACAGUGAAACAUACAUUGCACAUAUAUUACAUACUCAUCCUACACAUUUCGCAUAGACUACAGACCUAUUACACAUACAUUAUGUACACACACACACACACACACAUUGCCUGUACACUAUAUGUGUGCAUGUGUUUUCCCUCCAGAAGGUGGUACAAUAUAAAUUUAAGUGAACUAUCCAAAGUUAGUUUACAGAAAAUCUACCAUGUGGAAUACACACUUCCCACAUCCUAACAGACUCACCAAUAUUCUCUCUUUAUCAAUACCCGUUCACGCAUCAGUGAUAUAUGCCUCAGUCAUUUUCACACACAGUCAACCAUGUCCUACUAAGAUCGAAUUCAAAAUUCUUAAAAUGAAGAGCAAGGCAGAAAGUGUCUACUUUCCUAUCAUCUAAUUCCCCCAUCAUUUCUCAGAUGUGACUUUAGACGGGGAAGAUACCCAGGGCCUUGAGAUAAAGACCGAAGCAUAAGUAGUUUAUUGGGGGAUGAUCCAGAAAACACCAGUAAGGGAGAGAAGGAAGAAGGCCAUUAAAGCGUGCAAUAUCAAGCCAGUUAUCCCCACGGCUUGACUGGGUGGUACUGAGUCUCGCUGGACACAAUGUACAGAACAUGCUCCAGAACUAGCCCAACCAAGCGCCUAGGAGGCUAAGGCAUUUCUCUAACAAAUCCGCUUUUAUUCAGUGGCACUUCUGGCCUGCUCUGCAAGUGGACCUGGAACACACCUGCGGCUAGGAGAAAACCAACCAACCAACCAACCCCGAGUAGAGGCUGUUCACAGAGGACAGCCUAGAGAAUACGGGCAGAGCAGGAAAUGCACCUGUUGGUGGAAACUGUCUGCUCACUCCUAUGCUGAGAGUACUUCCUCCUCC
RNAcentral lists this long non-coding RNA (3374 nucleotides) under Sus scrofa (pig). RNAcentral describes it as "lncRNA (ENSSSCG00015030793.1)". Lineage: Eukaryota; Metazoa; Chordata; Mammalia; Artiodactyla; Suidae. The record is from RNAcentral.